This is a long non-coding RNA of Lolium rigidum, 611 nucleotides long. RefSeq lists it as uncharacterized. The transcript is spliced from 4 exons. NCBI's taxonomy places the organism in Eukaryota, Viridiplantae, Streptophyta, Magnoliopsida, Poales, Poaceae. The record is from RefSeq and is a predicted model, not a curated record.
AACAAACUCAAGAGGAGGUACAUAAGAGGAAUCUCAGGGAUGAACUUGAGGAACGUGAACGCAAGAACUUCUCAUCCAAGGAUAAGUCCUAUGUUGGUAGGAUGAUGAUGUUGUAUUCAAGAACAAGAUCGUGGAGAGACCAAGAAUCCAAAAAGGUUCAUCAACAACACCAUUAAGAGUGAUUGCCAUCGCAAGUUUCUGCAUAGAACAAUUAGGAAGUUGAAUUAGCAGUUGAUGGUUGUGGAGAAGAGGAUGGACCCUUGUGGCGAGAGAAGAGGCGUAUCCAAGGAGAAAUUGUUGGAAAACGGGAAAAAGAAGAUUAAGAAGCUGCUUGACUCGAAUUUUCUGUAUAUGCCAAAGUCUUACGUGAUUGCUACAGAAGACAUGACUGAAGCAAAAUACUAGAAGUGGGACAAUGAACCCGCACCACAUGUUUGGGAUGGUGAUCUCAUCUCCUGACUUUAUUCGUUUCAUUGGUGUGAAGGUAGUGGAAGCGGAGCAGUAUGCCCCUGAUGUGGCUUGAAGGGAGCCUUGGAUGCCAGAUCAUGCCAGGUGGCAUGCUUUUUUCUGAUGGGGAUGGGUGUCAGGGGCUUACAUCCAUUGGCUGGGUG